RNAcentral lists this long non-coding RNA (1484 nucleotides) under Salvator merianae (Argentine black and white tegu). Its description in RNAcentral is "lncRNA (ENSSMRG00000009464.1)". Lineage: Eukaryota; Metazoa; Chordata; Lepidosauria; Squamata; Teiidae. The record is from RNAcentral.
GCUGGAGCGCGGACUAAGGCACUAGCACCACCUCUAAGCUGCUGGUGUGUACGCGACAGCAACGUGGGGCUGGUUCUCCCCCACGGCGGCGAAGACGCUCCUGUCGGGACGGAAGCGGAAUGGGAAAACUUCGGGGUGAGGAGGACGCCGCGCUUCCCUUUCGUGCUCCCACGCUACUCCAAGCGCUCUCCGCAAACGCGGCGGACGGCUAAAGCGCUCGAGCAGCCGCCGCGUCCUCUGUUCCCCAAAUCACGCCCCGAACUCCGCCGCGAAGGGGCGUCCGUGUCGCCUGCUCCUCUCGCUCGCGACGAAAAAUAGAAAAGCCGGGAUGCGCCUGUUAGCCCACCGGGCACUUUCCCCCACCCCGCAGCCCCCUGUCGGAAUUAACCAGGCGCUGAGCGAGACGGGGCGCGCGGAGAAGGCGGCGUUGUUUCUGUCGCUCCCCGUCCAAAUCGGGGCCAUAUUGCGCGAUCCAGGGCGGUGCUGUUCCUGCCUUGGGUGCUGAGCUCGCGCACCUGCCCAGCGCAAGGUCCUAGCUGGUCUUCUGAUAGGCCACGGUGGGGCUGCCUCGGUGCCCCCCCCACAGAAGUCACAUUACCACGUCGUAAGACUAAGACGACCACCAAAAGCAUUGGUGAAGGCAAGGAGCAUGGACUUGUGUUCGGCUCUUGGUUUCAAAGGAAAUGCGCUUUGCAGAAUACAGAAACGAGGGUGCAACCCACCCGCAGAGAUGUUUAUUGGGGGGGGGCAGGACCCCCUGCUGCUGGAGACGUCUUUCAUCACUGUCAGGACAACAACGAGAUUCCUCUGCAAACCGAUCCCCAGGGCUGAAUUUGGGCAACAUCCCAUGUGGCUGAAAAAUAAAACACAGCUUUCUUUUCUGUUCCCCUGGGACAGCUUCUGACUGCGGGUUUACGAAGAAGCUGCUGGUGGCAUUGAGAGAAUUUGGAGCAACUGCAGUGAGCCCAGCUAAAAUUGCAGCUGCAGCAGUGGCCUGGAGGUGUGUCCAAAGCUGUAGAGGGUUCACCUGCGUGCAUGAAAGAAUGCUUCUGAAAACAUCUGGACACGUCUUUCCAUACUUUCCAUUCUGAAUCUGGAGCGGAGCAGAGAAGCCACGCCCCUUGCUAGACUUCUCCAGAUGCAUUGGAUGGAGCGUAUAUUGAACUAGGCAGCCCAAAAUGUUCCAGUCUGCCUCGGUCUACUCAUGAGUAAACUGGCCCAGGGAGCCUCUAAGGGCCGGUUUAGCAGGGGGAUCCGUUUUAUCUUCGGGGGGCUUCAGUGCUAGGAAGUUUAGUUUAAGAACAUGGAGGCUCAUUCUGAAAAUCACAUGAUGUUGGGGCCAGCAUGGUAGCUGUCCUGGAACACCUGCCCAAAAUUCCAGGACAGUAGGAGUGGACCAGCUGCUGGCACUGUUCUUGCCUGGAUUGGUCCUACUGGACUGGAUCAGGAAAGGUGCGAGAAGGCCCAGGUAGUUUUAGGGCCUU